GUGGGGAAUAUUGGACAAUGGGCGAAAGCCUGAUCCAGCCAUGCCGCGUGUGUGAAGAAGGUCUUCGGAUUGUAAAGCACUUUAAGUUGGGAGGAAGGGCAGUAAGUUAAUACCUUGCUGUUUUGACGUUACCAACAGAAUAAGCACCGGCUAACUUCGUGCCAGCAGCCGCGGUAAUACGAAGGGUGCAAGCGUUAAUCGGAAUUACUGGGCGUAAAGCGCGCGUAGGUGGUUCAGCAAGUUGGAGGUGAAAUCCCCGGGCUCAACCUGGGAACUGCCUCCAAAACUGAAUGACUAGAGUACGGUAGAGGGUAGUGGAAUUUCCUGUGUAGCGGUGAAAUGCGUAGAUAUAGGAAGGAACACCAGUGGCGAAGGCGACUACCUGGACUGAUACUGACACUGAGGUGCGAAAGCGUGGGGAGCAAACAGGAUUAGAAACCCCGGUAGUCC
Molecule: ribosomal RNA, 450 nt
Filed under: uncultured bacterium
Lineage: Bacteria
Description: partial 16S ribosomal RNA
Rfam family: Bacterial small subunit ribosomal RNA
Source: RNAcentral